RNAcentral lists this ribosomal RNA (252 nucleotides) under uncultured bacterium. Its description in RNAcentral is "partial 16S ribosomal RNA". It matches the Rfam family "Bacterial small subunit ribosomal RNA", at positions 524 to 776 of the family's 1533-position model. The record is from RNAcentral.
UACGAAGGGGGCUAGCGUUGCUCGGAUUGACUGGGCGUAAAGGGCGCGUAGGCGGUUUGUACAGUCAGACGUGAAAUUCCUGGGCUCAACCUGGGGGCUGCGUUUGAUACGUGCGAGCUUGAGUUCGGAAGAGGGUCGUGGAAUUCCCAGUGUAGAGGUGAAAUUCGUAGAUAUUGGGAAGAACACCGGUGGCGAAGGCGGCGACCUGGUCCGAUACUGACGCGAGGCGCGAAAGCGUGGGGAGCGAACAGG